GACGAACGCUGGCGGCGUGCCUAAUACAUGCAAGUAGAACGCUGAAGAGAGGAGCUUGCUCUUCUUGGAUGAGUUGCGAACGGGUGAGUAACGCGUAGGUAACCUGCCUGGUAGCGGGGGAUAACUAUUGGAAACGAUAGCUAAUACCGCAUGAUAUUAAUUAUUGCAUGAUAAUUGAUUGAAAGAUGCAAUUGCAUCACUACCAGAUGGACCUGCGUUGUAUUAGCUAGUUGGUGAGGUAACGGCUCACCAAGGCGACGAUACAUAGCCGACCUGAGAGGGUGAUCGGCCACACUGGGACUGAGACACGGCCCAGACUCCUACGGGAGGCAGCAGUAGGGAAUCUUCGGCAAUGGGGGGAACCCUGACCGAGCAACGCCGCGUGAGUGAAGAAGGUUUUCGGAUCGUAAAGCUCUGUUGUAAGAGAAGAACGGGUGUGAGAGUGGAAAGUUCACACUGUGACGGUACCUACCAGAAA
RNAcentral lists this ribosomal RNA (478 nucleotides) under Streptococcus sanguinis. RNAcentral's name for it is "bacterial SSU rRNA". It matches the Rfam family "Bacterial small subunit ribosomal RNA", at positions 28 to 489 of the family's 1533-position model. The record is from RNAcentral. Lineage: Bacteria; Bacillati; Bacillota; Bacilli; Lactobacillales; Streptococcaceae.